RNAcentral lists this ribosomal RNA (253 nucleotides) under uncultured bacterium. Its description in RNAcentral is "partial 16S ribosomal RNA". It matches the Rfam family "Bacterial small subunit ribosomal RNA", at positions 524 to 776 of the family's 1533-position model. The record is from RNAcentral.
UACGUAGGGUGCGAGCGUUACUCGGAAUUACUGGGCGUAAAGCGUGCGCAGGCGGUUCGUUAAGUUCGUUGUGAAAGCCCCGGGCUCAACCUGGGAACUGCAAUGGAAACUGGCGGGCUUGAGUGUGGCAGAGGGGAGUGGAAUUCCGCGUGUAGCAGUGAAAUGCGUAGAGAUGCGGAGGAACACCGAUGGCGAAGGCAGCCCCCUGGGCCAACACUGACGCUCAGGCACGAAAGCGUGGGGAGCAAACAGG